Molecule: transfer RNA, 85 nt
Filed under: Rhodocyclaceae bacterium
Lineage: Bacteria; Pseudomonadati; Pseudomonadota; Betaproteobacteria; Rhodocyclales; Rhodocyclaceae
Also listed under: 3 other names
Description: tRNA-Leu
Rfam family: tRNA
About the family: Transfer RNA (tRNA) molecules are approximately 80 nucleotides in length.
Source: RNAcentral
GCCCAGGUGGCGGAAUUGGUAGACGCACCAGAUUUAGGUUCUGGCGCCGCGAGGCGUGGGGGUUCGAGUCCCUUUCUGGGCACCA